This 69-nucleotide transfer RNA is filed under the name Allobates sp. Neblina. RNAcentral describes it as "tRNA-Gly". It matches the Rfam family "tRNA". Rfam says of the family: Transfer RNA (tRNA) molecules are approximately 80 nucleotides in length. Their secondary structure includes four short double-helical elements and three loops (D, anti-codon, and T loops). The record is from RNAcentral. Lineage: Eukaryota; Metazoa; Chordata; Amphibia; Anura; Aromobatidae.
AUUUCUUUAGUAUAAAUAAUACAAAUGACUUCCAAUCAUUUUAUCCUGGUCUAACCCCAAGAAGAAGUA